GUGCCAGCAGCCGCGGUAAUACAGAGGGUGCGAGCGUUACUCGGAAUUACUGGGCGUAAAGGGCGCGUAGGCGGACAUGCAAGUGGGAUGUGAAAUCCCCGGGCUUAACCUGGGAACUGCAUUCCAGACUGCAUGUCUGGAGUACUGUAGAGGACAGUGGAAUUUCCGGUGUAGCGGUGAAAUGCGUAGAGAUCGGAAGGAACACCAGUGGCGAAGGCGACUGUCUGGACAGAUACUGACGCUGAGGCGCGAAAGCGUGGGGAGCAAACAGGAUUAGAUACCCCGGUAGUCC
This 292-nucleotide ribosomal RNA is filed under the name uncultured bacterium. RNAcentral's name for it is "partial 16S ribosomal RNA". It matches the Rfam family "Bacterial small subunit ribosomal RNA", at positions 505 to 796 of the family's 1533-position model. The record is from RNAcentral.